CCUACGGGAGGCAGCAGUGAGGAAUAUUGGUCAAUGGGCGCGAGCCUGAACCAGCCAAGUAGCGUGAAGGAUGACUGCCCUACGGGUUGUAAACUUCUUUUAUAAAGGAAUAAAGUGAGGCACGUGUGCCUUUUUGUGUGUACUUUAUGAAUAAGGAUCGGCUAACUCCGUGCCAGCAGCCGCGGUAAUACGGAGGAUCCGAGCGGUAUCCGGAUUUAUUGGGUUUAAAGGGAGCGUAGGUGGGUUGUUAAGUCAGUAGUGAAAGUUUGCGGCUUAACCGUAAAAUUGCAAUUGAAACUGGCAGUCUUGAGUACAGGUGAGGUAGGCGGAAUUCGUGGUGUAGCGGUGAAAUGCUUAGAUAUCACGAAGAACUCCGAUUGCGAAGGCAGCUUACUGGACUGCAACUGACGUUGAUGCGCGAAAGUGUGGGUAGCAAACAGGAUUAGAUACCCGUGUAGUC
RNAcentral lists this ribosomal RNA (460 nucleotides) under uncultured bacterium. RNAcentral's name for it is "partial 16S ribosomal RNA". It matches the Rfam family "Bacterial small subunit ribosomal RNA", at positions 338 to 795 of the family's 1533-position model. The record is from RNAcentral.